AAAUGACUCACCUGUCUGUUUCAACCAACUACUGUGUAUGAGGGGGUAUAUGAGGAUACUUAAUUAUCAGUAUCUCUUCAGACCAAGUAAAAGGAUUUUAUUUCUUUCAUAUCUUCCAUGGUAGCUAAACUAAAGUGCUAACCCAGGAAAUGAAAGGACAAGCAGUCAUAAGUUGCCAUAUGUGCAGAACAUGGUGAUAUAGAAACAGUCAACUUUCUGCAAGAUCUUUUGUACACAAAAUUUGGAUUGAAUUGGAAGCCCCUGGCAGGAAUGUUUCAACAGCAU
Long non-coding RNA from Octopus sinensis (East Asian common octopus), 285 nucleotides. RefSeq lists it as uncharacterized. The record is from RefSeq and is a predicted model, not a curated record. Lineage: Eukaryota; Metazoa; Mollusca; Cephalopoda; Octopoda; Octopodidae. The transcript is spliced from 2 exons.